AUACGGAAGGUGCAAGCGUUAAUCGGAAUCACUGGGCGUAAAGCGCUCGUAGGUGGCUUUGUAAGUCAGGUGUGAAAGCCCACGGCUCAACCGUGGAAUUGCACUUGAUACUGCAUUGCUUGAGUUCGGGAGAGGGUAGUGGAAUUCCAGGUGUAGGAGUGAAAUCCGUAGAGAUCUGGAGGAACACCAGUGGCGAAGGAAACGACUACCUGGACCGAUACUGACACUGAGGAGCGAAAGCGUGGGGAGC
RNAcentral lists this ribosomal RNA (250 nucleotides) under uncultured bacterium. Its description in RNAcentral is "partial 16S ribosomal RNA". It matches the Rfam family "Bacterial small subunit ribosomal RNA", at positions 523 to 769 of the family's 1533-position model. The record is from RNAcentral.